This 268-nucleotide unclassified non-coding RNA is filed under the name Hevea brasiliensis (rubber tree). Lineage: Eukaryota; Viridiplantae; Streptophyta; Magnoliopsida; Malpighiales; Euphorbiaceae. The record is from RNAcentral.
GAGAAAUCUCUUUUCUUUUUCUUUUCUUUUCUUUAUCUUUUCUAUUCUCUCUGUCAUUUUGAAAGAGCAGAGAGAAACAUAUAUAUUUGUCAAUUUCUUGUUUCCGAAGGAUAAAGAACCCAAGGAAGGAAGUGAUCUUUCCAACUCUUCCUCUCUAAACACAGAGGAGGUGCUUGGAGUCUGAUGGGAAAAAUGGAUGAGAUAUGNUGUGAAAAGAAAGGGCAUCCAGUACCACCCCCAUUGCCGGGUCCGGCGACUACCAGCAGCC